UAGAACACUCCUUUGAUUUCAUAAACCUAUUUUCUCCACUUUCACACUUCAAAGUACUACUUAUCUCUCAAUUAAUUUCAUCUUAUAGCUAGAUUUCUUAAUUUCGGGUAAGCUUUUCCCUUAAUUUUUUCUUUAAUCUUUUCCCGCUUUUGCUUGUUUGAAUCGCUUAUUUGCCCCUGAUAUUGCUUAUUGUGCUUGAUAAUGAAAUAUCUUAUGUGUAAAUUCAAAGGCAACCCAAAGCCACCCACCGCUCUACCAUUUUUUGACUCUUUUGAUAGAGCUUGAGUGUAUGCUGCAGCUUGCGGAUGUAUUGGAGCGCCUUUUCUUUCGUUCAAUCUCAGGAAAUCUCAUCCAUUGAGAUUGAGUCCGAUAAAUGGUAAGAUCAUUUAUUUGUUAAAUAUUUUCAUUUGUUGUGAGAAAAUUUUCAGGGUUAGUUUUUUCAACUGUGUUUUCCUAUUAAUUUGACAAAAUAAUUUUUAGAUUGAAAUAUGAAUAUAUUGUAGAGGGAUAUAAAUUGUUAGACAAAUUGUUAAGAUGGUACAAGAUUUAUCUAAAUACAAGAUAUAUAUAUAUAUAUAUAUAUAUAUAUAUAUAUCUUGUAUUUAGAUAAAUCUUGUACCAUCUUAACAAUUUGUCUAACAAUUUAUAUCCCUCUACAAUAUAUUCAUAUUUCAAUCUAAAAAUUAUUUUGUCAAAUUAAUAGGAAAACACAGUUGAAAAAACUAACCCUGAAAAUUUUCUCACAACAAAUGAAAAUAUUUAACAAAUAAAUGAUCUUACCAUUUAUCGGACUCAAUCUCAAUGGAUGAGAUUUCCUGAGAUUGAACGAAAGAAAAGGCGCUCCAAUACAUCCGCAAGCUGCAGCAUACACUCAAGCGGCCCGUUUAAGCCCCGUGGGCUCGGCCUAUUUAGCCUCGGGAUCAUGUGGGCUUAGGCUCGUAGUGGACCGAUUACACCCUCCAGGACCGCUAAUUUCGGGACCGCCAGAGCCCGUGACCGUUUGGCUCGGCCCGUUUAGCCCAUUUAGGCCCGAGCCCGACCCAUAAUACAGUCUUAGUUCAAAUUAGACUAGAUACUUUCGUUUUUAGUUUAUAUUUCAAAAUAAAUGACACAUUUUUAAAUUUGGAAAUAAUUCAAUUUUAAACUUUUUGUUCUACCAAUUUUACCUUUAAUGAAAAGCUUUUAUAAUUACACACAUGUCGGCCUCACAAAGCUUUUGUCUCUUAAGUUUUUAUGACCACAAAUUUCAAAGGUCUUCCCUUUUCCCAUAAACUCUGAGUCAAACUAUAAGUGGAAACGAAUGAAAUAUUUUUCUAGUAUUGAUCUACAUACUAUUAGGGCAAAAACUAUUUAGGUAAAAAUACAAUAGUGCAAACGUGUAAUACUAAAAUAACGAAUUACCUUUACUAAUUGUUAUGCUUGUGCAAAUUUAGUUUUACAGCAAAAUUUCAAUUCAAAUUAUUAUGCAUUGUUUCCAAAUAGGAGAUAUACUAUCAUGACUUUUAUUUUUAUUUUUUAGUAAAAUCGAUUCAUACCGAAAUAAUUGUGCCAUGUUUAAUAUCACUAUAUGUCUAUUUUUAUUUCAUAUUUUCAUUUCACAUCAAAUAAUAAACAAGUUUUUCACAUAAGUUAUGCAUAUUUUAUGAUUAUCUUUACAACUCAUUCAGUUCAAAUAAGAUGAGUAGAAAGAACAUGGUGAUAUCGAGAUGAAUAGAACUGGAAAAUUCAAAUUGUCUCACAACCUUGUAAUUAUCCAAGCUAUUUCUAGAAGUUAAUAAUAAUUCGUUAAAAUUAACAAGUUGUAUAGGUAUAGGACAAUAGCCAUAGUUUAGAGUGAGAAACUCUAGCCUCUCUCUAAAAUCAAUCCCCAUAUUCUUCGUCUCCAAAAUCUAAGUUAUGCUCCUCAAUACUCCCCGUGCCUAUCCACUAAUUGACCUAAACAACAUGGAAACUACACCAAACAGCUUGAUCGGAGAUACCACAUCUCCAACCAACAUGAGUCUCAACUCUACCCAUCCAAAUGCGCCACAAACAAGCCUUGGCCCUAAUACCACCCAAAAAUCCCAACCACUGGAAACUGGGCAAUAUCACCAAGGAAAACCGUUGUUCUUAAGCAUACUAAACAACAACCCCACUUCCAGCAACCUUUCAAACAACAUAUGCGUCCAAAACGACAUUAACAUGGACAUGAUAACCACGAAUGAAACUGAAAAUCCUUUCCUCUAAGAAGACGAAGAUAUCUUCAUCCCCAUAACCUCUGAAGAUAAAGAGAGAUUAUAUAGGAACUGGGAAACAACCCUUAUAGUUAAGGUUUUUGGGAAAAGAGUUGGGUAUUAAUUCCUCAAACGUAAGCUUCAAGCGAUUUGGAAGCCAAACAAAACUAUUUCCCUUAUCGACCUAGGAUACGACUACUAUCUUAUAAAAUUUAACAAGCAAGAAAAUUACAAUAAAGCUCUUCAUGAGGGUCCUUGGUUCAUUGGAAACCGGUUUCUUACCAUAAGAAAAUGGGAGCCUAGAUUUGUAGCAUUGGAAGCAUCACUAACAUACUCGGCUAUUUGGGCUAGUCUACCUGAACUCCCUACAGAAUUUUAUGACUAUGAAAUCCUACAAAAAAUAGGGAACAAGCUAGGAGAACUUAUACGUAUUGAUGCAUGCACCUCGUCAGCCCUUAGGGGGAAAUAUGCCCGACUAUGCAUCCUAGUUCCAAUUGAAAACCCCCUAAAAACCCAUAUAAUACUAGGUAAACACUACCAGAAAAUAACGUAUGAAUGCUUCAACGUCUUAUGCACGAACUGCGGGACGCCUAGGUCACAAUGUAAUAUCCUGCCCAAACAAAAGAAUAGAGACCCAAAAUAAUAAUAUCAUGCCCAGUAAUACCAAAAAAACACCUCAGGAUAUUGAUUCCAUCACUACAAAGGUUGAAAAUUGGACCAUAGUCUCUCAUUAUAGAAGAAAAACGAAACUGGACUUAGGUCAGCAUAAUACCUCGAAUCCCAAACCUCCCAUGCACAUCACUAUCGAAAAGUAUAACCCAAAUGCUUCGAACAAUACCCAAACAAAAAAGGGACUCUCAUAGGGUCGUACGACUUUUUUCCACUGAACAACCCCCACCCAACCCCACCUUACCCCCCCUCCCACACAGAAGCACCUUCUCUCGACACAUUAGUAAAACCCUUAUACCCCAAAAGUCCCUAUCAAUACAUAGGUCUGCUACUACAACUACUCUAGACAUGACACACCCUACAAAUGACAAAGACCUUCCCGCCUGGACAAUGACCCUAACCUACAAAAGAAUGCUAUCCAACCCUUGCUACCCUAUCCAAUAACACAAUCAGCCCCUCAAACGAGACCACCAACACCUUUUUCACAGAAAACUCGGUGCAAAAACAUCUGUUUAUUUCUCCCUCUAUAGACAACGAAGUCCCAUCAACUAAACUACAACACUUAGAUCAACACCUAGGCUCUACCAUUUUUAGUGCAUCAAAUACAAACGGUUUCACAACAUUAAACAACAGGUUUUCUCCAUUAGAACCUAUACAUACCUCACAUCAAUCUCCUUCUCCAAUGUCCUUAGAUUCAAACCAAAACAUUCCCCUUGACAUAACCCCAGCCAUAGAAAUUAAUGUCCUCCUCUUAAAUUCUCCAGUGGAUACUUCAUUAAAUAACACUAACGAUUUAAAACACAUUCAAGACCCUCACUCGGCCAGUAACAGUGUUCCUAACAUAAUUCCAAGUUCAAACAACAUCUCUACCAAAAAUACCAAGGCUUCCAAGCAACUACCACACGAGAAAUGUAAGAACAAAGGAGGAAUGUUUGGAUACGGGAACAACACCAAAGACACAAUCAUGCCUUCAACCACCCCAACUGACUCCACAACUACUCCAACCACCAACACUCUUCACAACCCUACCAAUUCAACCAAAACAUACUCCCCAGAGCUGGUUGGAACAAGGUCUAAUGGGACACGGCCUAAGCAUGAGCUUAAGGAUCAAUAGGGAGGAUAUAGUCACACAAAUAGAAGACCCAUGUUUUUUAGAUAAAAUAAUAGCGUAAGGGAUGAGAAUAGCCAUGGGGAACAUAGUAAACAAUCCUUGGAUAAACCAUGCAUUAAACAUUCAUUAAGGAAUGUCAUCACCAUGGCUUCAUCUUCCAUGGCAGAACCAACAACCAUGGAAUCCUCUCUUACCAUUCAAUCUUCUCAACAUACAAUCACCCCUCUUCCCAAAUAUCCAACCUCCCCCAAAUCUAACCCCAUAUACUAGACUAUGCAUGGCACGACCCCAAGCAUGCAUGGUCCAAUACCGAGCCACCAAGCUGUCCACAACACCCCAACAACCCCUCCCUCACCCAUACGACAGAAUCAUCCACCCAACGUGAAGAGAGAAGAUGAGGAAGACAGUCCAACGGAAAGGGUGGUAGAACAUGGAGUACUAAGGUCACCAAAAACCCUAGUGUUCAAAGUAAGAAAAAAAAGGUUCAUCUUAAGUUACCCGCUGGAUUUGAAAAAAUACUCAAUAAUUAUAAAGAAAUUGGGGACUCCAGGGAUCUACCAAUAUGUAAUGGUGUUGAUCCCGACAAUGUUCUUCAACUUUUGGAUAAGCCAAGAAGGAACACCGAGCAAGGGGAUACUCCUCUCUCAAGCGGGAGAUGAGUUCACACAAUAGAAACAUAAGUGUGAGUUUUAUUUCUUGGAAUUGUCGUGGAGUAGGAAAUGUUGAUUUCAGAAUAGCUUUUAGAUCCAUGCUUGAUUAUCACAAACCUAGUGUGAUUGCACUACUAGAAACAAGAUUAUCUGAUCAUCAUGUCAUUGUGGAGGAUUUUGGAUUUUCAAGUCUAACAUAGGUUGUGGCACAAGGAAACUCGGGAUGAAUGACACUAAUGUGGAGCAAUGAUGAAGUCAAUGUGGACCAAAUAGGGGGAAUUGAUCAUGAAAUCCAUGCUAUGGUGAAGGUAAAAAUUCUUCCUAAAACUUGGUUAUGCUCAAUUAUUUAUGCUAGUAGUUUAUUAGAGGAAAGAAUUAUUCUUUGGAAUAACCUAAAACAGGGCCCUGGUUAGUAUUAGGAGAUUUCAAUGAGGUCACCAAAGCAAGCGAGAAAUUUGGAGGUCUCCCCGUCAAUAACUAUAGAAUUUUAAAAUUUAUUAAUUAUCUUAAUACUUGCAAACGUAUAGACCUAGGGUUUAAAGGCCCAAAGUAUACCUGAUUAAAUAAGAGGAAAAAGAAUAAAAAUGCUUUUAUUAUGGAGAGACUAGACAGAUUUGUAGCCAAUAGUGAAUGGAUCGGUAUGUUUUCUGAAGCUCGUGUAAAACACCUUAUAAGAACCCACUCUGAUCAUUGUCCCAUAAAUCUACACCUUAUCAAAAUACCAAUCUGUAGCAAUAAUAUAUUUCGAUUAGAAACCAUAUGGUUAUCCCAUCCCACUUUUAGGGGUUUAGUAAUGGACUGCUGGACAAACCAGCUUAAUAUAUCAACUGCUAGUAACAACUUCACUAAUAAAGCUACUACCUGGAAUAAAGAUACCUUUGGAAAUAUCUUUUCAAAAAAAGAACGAAAUCCUAGCUAUAGUAGAAGGCAUUCAAAAAUCUACAAAUUACACAACUAACAACUUCUUGACUAACUUAGGAAAUGAACUACUAGAAGAAUUACAAAAAGCCCUCAAACUAGAAGAGGAAUUAUGGAAACUGAAAUCUAGAAUCCAGUAGAUCCAAUAUGGUGAUGCCAAUACAAAAAUUUUCCACCUCACAACGCUACAAAGAAGAAGGAAAAAUAGAAUUUUUAGCAUUAGAGAUGAGGCUGGCAAUUGGUUCCACAACCCAAAGAAACUUUCCCAUAUCAUAAUAAAUUUCUAUAAAAAUCUAUAUACCACUAAUCAUACUUCCUCCAAAAAAAUACUAAUAAACAUGCCUACCCUAUCCUCAAUUACCCCAAUUGACCAUUUCUCUCUCACCAAAGAGCGUGAUGAGGAGGAAGUAAAGAAAGCCCUUUUCUCCUUUUGAACUACUAAAAGCACCGGACCGGAUGGUAUCCACCAUUUCUUCUACCAAAAAUUAUAGGGAAUAACUAACAACAUUCUGGUCAAAUUCUAUAAAGAAUCCUUCACAAAGGAAAAAAUGACUGAAGACAUGAAUAAUACCUAUGUUUGUUUAAUACCAAAAUAUCAGAAUGCUGAAACCUUAAAGCAAUACCUUUGUAACACUACCUAUAAGUCGUCACGAAAAUUAUUAUUUAUAGAAUAAAACCCUUGCUCAACAAAAUUAUUCAUCCUUCUCAAACAAGCUUUAUAAAAGGAAGGAGAGCCUCUGACAAUGCCAUAAUAGUGCAUGAAGUCCAUAAUUUCUUCAAAAAUUCCAAAGGGAAGAAAGGGAAAAUCAUGAUUAAAAUUGACUUAGAAAAGGCUUUUGACAAACUAGAACCGUCUUUCAUUAGAUUCUCCCUGAAAUUCCUUAACUUUCCGUAUGAACUAAUCGAGUUAAUAAUUUCAUGUGUAUCAUCCACAUCCACAUCCACCUCCAUACUCAUAAAUUGUUCAAGCACAUAAUUCUUCACCCCUACUAGAGGCAUUAGGUAAGGGGACCCCUAUCCCCGUACCUAUUCAUAAUAUGCAUGAAAAUGCACUCUAGACUCAUUGAUCAUGAAGUAGACUGUUGUAGAUGGGACUCCAUAACCUUGUCAAAAAAGGGUCCCAAAUUAUCUCACAUGUUCUUUGCUGACGACCUCAUUCUUAUUAUGGAGGCCAAUCAAAAAAGGUGCGACUCUCUUAUAGAUACUCUGAAUAAAUUAUGUGAGUUCUCCGGCCAAUCCAUCAACUUCAGCAAAUCUAGAAUAAUCUUUUCUAACCGACAAACAGUCUCUCCUUGGUAGGUGCCUAAACAUGAAAAUAUCAAACUCGGCAUGAAAAUACCUAGGUUUACCCAUGACAAACCAUAGGCUAUCCAAAAAAGACUUCUGAUUCAUUAUCGACAAUCUAAACAACAGACUAAAAGGAUGGAAACCACACUUUCUAAACCUAGCAGGAAGAACCACCAUCAUUAAAGCAACCCUUGCAACCAUUCCUAACCAUAACAUGCAAAUUUUUAACCUACCUAGAGCUAUCCAAAAUAAGAUAGACUCGAUCCAACGUAAUUUUCUAUGGGGAAGUACGGAGUAAAAAAUAAAAUGCCACUUGCUUAAAUGGAACAAGGUCACUACUCCAAAAAGACAUGGAGGCCUAGGGCUUUUUAAAACCAGCUGUAAAAAUGAUGCCUUCAUCACCAGUCUUGCUUGGAGAUACUCUAACAACAAGGAAUCCUUAUGGGUCAAAGUUUUGCGCAAUAAAUAUGAUAGGAAAACCAACCAUAAUAAUGAACUCAAUCCUAUUCUUGUGUCCUCAGACAUCGGGGAAAACAUCUAUAAAGGAAACAAGAUUUUCCAAAAAGGGAAUAAAUGGAUUAUAGGUAAUGGAUAAAGCAUAAAUCUUUGGAACAUAGAUGGAAAAACUAUGGGAAUACACUAAGGGAUAGUAUCCAUGGGCCUUUCCAAAAAGGGGAAGAAGAUAUGAAGGUAAAAUCUAUCAUUCAAGACGGUUACUUCAACCUAUCAAAAUUAUCCUUCGAAUUGAAGAUAUAACCCUAAAAAUCCAUUGCACUUAUAUCCAACAAUCCCAGUCAAGUAGGGAUAAGAUCUCCUGGAAUCCCCAGGCUAUAACUCUUUCUCCAUCAAGGCAGCAUAUGAUCUUAUUACUCACCAGGAUACUCAUAUUGAAGAGAACAACCUCAACUAUAAGUGGACCUCACCCUGAGCAAACUAAAAUACUUCAUGUGGUUGUUCACCCUGAACAGACUCCCAAUAACCACCUUUCUAGCAACACGUAAUAUCUGCACAUCUGACAUCUGCACCAUAUGUGGAACUGAAAAGGAGGACAUAAAAUGCAUGCUAUUCUAUUGUACCCAUUCAAAGGAAAUCCGGAGGCAAUGUCACAUAAAACACAACUACCCACCUUCGGAUAAUGAACUAUCUACUUUCUACUGGCUAAAGCACCAACUAAAUUCAAACAAGCGUUAUAAUCAAUACAACAAUUGGCAUGUCUUCUUACCUUUCCUCCUAUGGUACUUAUGGGCCACUAGAAAUGAAAAGAUAUUUCACAAAAGUAGCCCAUAUCCCAACAUUAGCAAAGUAAUCAAUAGUACUCAGGAAUUUCUCUUCCUAAGAAACUGGAGUCUCAUCCGAAGACCAAAAAGAACAAUCCUCAUUAAAUGGCAACCACCAGACUUAGGAACCUACAAACUAAACAUAGAUGGAUCAUGCUUGGGUAACCCAGGUAGGGGGCAUAAGAGGGGUUUUUAGAGAUAGCAAUGGAAACUGGAUACUAGGAUUCAGAAUGGGAUUUGCAUAUGCUACGAAUAUCCAAAUGGAAGCCAUGUCCCUACUACAUGUCCUAAAACUAGUCAUACAAAAGAGACUAACUCCUUUAGUCAUUGAAACAGACUACUUAUUAACCUGAUAAACAAUGAUAAUUGCCUUUUAUCAAAAUAUUAUUAAUGAUUCAGGUUCCUAUUAUCUGAGGCGGGCACGCCACCAUUGAGGCAUGCAUUCAGAUAAGCUAAUAGGUAGUGGACGCCUUAGCCAAGAAUGGAUGCAGUUUGGACUCUUUUGCUGAUUUAAUGUUGUAUCAUUAUCCACCUAUAUUUGCUAUUUCAGUUUUUGAUAGAGAUGGGAUAAGCACUGCAUGGCCUAGAUAAAUAUCAUGUUGAAAUGACUACUGAGUUUUUAUGUUGUGAAUAAAUGUCUUUAUUUACCAAAAAAUAAUAAUUUAUAUAGGUCGAAAUCAGGUAUGUCCGAUUUCACGGUCGAGGGGAUGCCUCAAGACCGAGUUCAGGAAGGGUCAAGAUUUGAGCCCGAUGGAUCAAGCUCAAGACCGACGACAGAAUAUAAGGCUUGAAGAUUGAAGUACACAGUGAGCACUGAAGCCAAGUGCGUCCGACGUUAUGAGUUUGUAACAGAAUGAGUAAGAUUCCCGCCACGUUCCCAAGUUCAUGGUGUGAAAUUCGGAAUCGAUUUGUACGAGUUAGUACUAAUCUGUACUAGGUGGUUAGACAGUUCUCCCAAUAACAUUCAUUACUGUAAAUAGAAAUAUACCUUAUUUGGGGUUCCCCUAUUAUAUAAAGGGAACACCGAUCAU
Molecule: long non-coding RNA, 9156 nt
Filed under: Nicotiana benthamiana
Lineage: Eukaryota; Viridiplantae; Streptophyta; Magnoliopsida; Solanales; Solanaceae
Description: long non-coding RNA (NBEN_LNC015366)
Source: RNAcentral